AGAGUUUGAUCCUGGCUCAGGACGAACGCUGGCGGCGUGCUUAACACAUGCAAGUCAAGGAGAACGGGAAUCUUCGGAAUCCCCAUUACACUGGCGAACGGGUGAGUAACACGUAGGUAACCUGCCUCGAGGACUGGGAUAACAUCGCCAACGCGAUGCUAAUACCGGAUAUAACAAUUUUAUCACAUGGUUUAAUUGUGAAAGCUGCCUUCGGGUAGCACCACGAGAUGGACCUGCGCCCCAUUAGCUUGUUGGUAGGGUAGUGGCCUACCAAGGCGACGAUGGGUAGCCGGCCUGAGAGGGUGACCGGCCACACUGGGACUGAGAUACGGCCCAGACUCCUACGGGAGGCAGCAGUGAGGAAUAUUGCGCAAUGGCCGAAAGGCUGACGCAGCAACGCCGCGUGGGUGAUGAAGCUCUUCGGAGUGUAAAGCCCUGUUAGGAGGGACGAACAGUUCCGAGUCAAAUAGGCUCGGAAUUUGACGGUACCUCCAGAGAAAGCCCCGGCUAACUCCGUGCCAGCAGCCGCGGUAAUACGGGGGGGGCAAGCGUUGUCCGGAAUCAUUGGGCGUAAAGAGCACGUAGGUGGGAUGGUCAGUUGAAGGUGAAAACCUAUGGCUUAACUAUAGGCCUGCCUCCAAUACUGCCAUUCUUGAGUACGGAAGAGGGAAGUGGAAUUCCUGGUGUAGCGGUGAAAUGC
This 700-nucleotide ribosomal RNA is filed under the name uncultured bacterium. RNAcentral describes it as "bacterial SSU rRNA". It matches the Rfam family "Bacterial small subunit ribosomal RNA", at positions 8 to 689 of the family's 1533-position model. The record is from RNAcentral.